This 424-nucleotide ribosomal RNA is filed under the name Verrucomicrobiota bacterium. RNAcentral's name for it is "Verrucomicrobia bacterium partial 16S ribosomal RNA". It matches the Rfam family "Bacterial small subunit ribosomal RNA", at positions 355 to 776 of the family's 1533-position model. Lineage: Bacteria; Pseudomonadati; Verrucomicrobiota. The record is from RNAcentral.
UGAGGAAUAUUGGUCAAUGGGCGAGAGCCUGAACCAGCCAAGUAGCGUGCAGGACGACGGCCCUAUGGGUUGUAAACUGCUUUUAUGUGGGGAUAAAGUGCGUGACGUGUCAUGCAUUGCAGGUACCACAUGAAUAAGGACCGGCUAAUUCCGUGCCAGCAGCCGCGGUAAUACGGAAGGUCCGGGCGUUAUCCGGAUUUAUUGGGUUUAAAGGGAGCGUAGGCUGUCUAUUAAGCGUGUUGUGAAAUAUACCGGCUCAACCGGUGGCUUGCAGCGCGAACUGGUCGACUUGAGUAUGCAGGAAGUAGGCGGAAUUCAUGGUGUAGCGGUGAAAUGCUUAGAUAUCAUGACGAACUCCGAUUGCGCAGGCAGCUUACUGUAGCAUAACUGACGCUGAUGCUCGAAAGUGCGGGUAUCGAACAGG